This 465-nucleotide ribosomal RNA is filed under the name uncultured bacterium. RNAcentral describes it as "partial 16S ribosomal RNA". It matches the Rfam family "Bacterial small subunit ribosomal RNA", at positions 28 to 507 of the family's 1533-position model. The record is from RNAcentral.
GAUGAACGCUGGCGGCGUGCUUAACGCAUGCAAGUCGAACGAUGAAGCCCAGCUUGCUGGGUGGAUUAGUGGCGAACGGGUGAGUAACACGUGAGUAACCUGCCCUUGACUCUAGGAUAAGCCCGGGAAACUGGGUCUAAUACUGGAUAGGAACGUCUACCGCAUGGUGGGUGUUGGAAAGAAUUUCGGUCAUGGAUGGACUCGCGGCCUAUCAGCUUGUUGGUGAGGUAAUGGCUCACCAAGGCGACGACGGGUAGCCGGCCUGAGAGGGUGACCGGCCACACUGGGACUGAGACACGGCCCAGACUCCUACGGGAGGCAGCAGUGGGGAAUAUUGCACAAUGGGCGAAAGCCUGAUGCAGCGACGCCGCGUGAGGGAUGACGGCCUUCGGGUUGUAAACCUCUUUCAGUAGGGAAGAAGCGAAAGUGACGGUACCUGCAGAAGAAGCACCGGCUAACUACGUG